CGAUUCGGGGAGGUAGUGACAAUAAAUAACAAUACAGGGCCAACGGUCUUGUUAUUGGAAUGAGAACAAUUUAAAUAACUUAACGAGGAUCAAUUAGAGGGCAAGUCUGGUGCCAGCAGCCGCGGUAAUUCCAGCUCUAAUAGCGUAUAUUAAAGUUGUUGCAGUUAAAAAGCUCGUAGUCGGAUGUCGGACUCGGGCAGGCUGUCGGCUUCGGUCGGACGGCAGGCUCGGGUCUUUCUGCCUGAGGAUCCCGUUGCACUUAAUUGUGGGGCGUGGGGACGCAGGCCGUUUACUUUGAAAAAAUUAGAGUGUUCAAAGCAGGCCUACGCUUGAAUACAUUAGCAUGGAAUAAUGGAAUAGGACUUUGGUGCUAUUUUGUUGGUUUAUGGGACCGAAGUAAUGAUUAACAGGGACAGUUGGGGCCGUUUAUAUUUCGUUGUCAGAGGUGAAAUUCUUGGAUUUACGAAAGAUAAACUUCUGCGAAAGCAUUCGGCAAGGAUGUUUUCAUUGAUCAAGAACGAAAGUUAGGGGAUCGAAGACGAUCAGAUACCGUCGUAGUCUUAACCAUAAACUAUGCCGACUAGGGAUCAGUGGAUGUCAAUUUGCGACUCCAUUGGCACCUUGUGAGAAAUCAAAGUUUUUGGGUUCCGGGGGGAGUAUGGUCGCAAGGCUGAAACUUAAAGGAAUUGACGGAAGGGCACCACCAGGAGUGGAGCCUG
Molecule: ribosomal RNA, 719 nt
Filed under: uncultured marine eukaryote
Lineage: Eukaryota
Description: SSU rRNA
Rfam family: Eukaryotic small subunit ribosomal RNA
Source: RNAcentral